RNAcentral lists this ribosomal RNA (402 nucleotides) under uncultured bacterium. Its description in RNAcentral is "bacterial SSU rRNA". It matches the Rfam family "Bacterial small subunit ribosomal RNA", at positions 355 to 774 of the family's 1533-position model. The record is from RNAcentral.
UGGGGAAUAUUGGACAAUGGGCGCAAGCCUGAUCCAGCCAUGCCGCGUGAGUGAUGAAGGCCCUAGGGUUGUAAAGCUCUUUUGUGCGGGAAGAUAAUGACGGUACCGCAAGAAUAAGCCCCGGCUAACUUCGUGCCAGCAGCCGCGGUAAUACGAAGGGGGCUAGCGUUGCUCGGAAUCACUGGGCGUAAAGGGUGCGUAGGCGGGUCUUUAAGUCAGGGGUGAAAUCCUGGAGCUCAACUCCAGAACUGCCUUUGAUACUGAGGAUCUUGAGUUCGGGAGAGGUGAGUGGAACUGCGAGUGUAGAGGUGAAAUUCGUAGAUAUUCGCAAGAACACCAGUGGCGAAGGCGGCUCACUGGCCCGGUACUGACGCUGAGGUGCGAGAGCGUGGGGAGCAAACA